UAGGGUCCCUGAGUGACAGGGGUCCAAAAUCUCUAGCAGUACCCCUGCAUGUAAGAAUAAUAUGUCCAUGUAUUUAAUUUCCAGUAAGAACUUCUACACUUCAAAACUUCCCUUAUUCACAUCUGUGCCGAUCACAUUCCUGUACACAGUUCUGUUACAAUAAAUGUUAUGCUUGUUGAAUAUACCUUUUAUGACCACCACAUUGUUGGUAAAGGAAACCUCAAACGUGACAAUCAAUUACCAUGUUUUAUAUGCCUUAAGUUUUUCUAUUGCUUCUGUGGUUGCAAAAUCAAUGAGUGUGUAAGACAAAUCUUAUCUAUGAAAUAAACUAAUGGUCAGACGACCUUAAGCAUGACAAGGAUGGAGUAACAGAUCUGUGAGCACCCUGUUUUGAGAUGCCAUCAUUACAGCACAGAGGGAGGAGAGGACAUUGGUCUGUUGUUGUUGCUAGGAAACAUAUUAAGGAGAAGGGUGAUGUUGGAGCUGUAGUUGCUGAAGAGCAAGGAGAUACCAAGGAAUGGAUUCAUACAUCUGAGGUUAUUUGAUGAUAAAAACCAGAAGAGUUUCAGUGAUACUUCAUAUCUGAACCACUGUAUGUCAUCCAACAUAAAGACUACAAAUCCAGGACUGCAGCACUGCCCAGCCUUUAUCACACUCUGCAUUUCUGCGACCUAAUCUCCUGCUUUUUACUCCAUGGCACGGUUACCAUAUGCAUCUGGAGUAAUAUAUCUCAUAAAAUAUUUCUGUUACUAAAGAAGUAUAUGAACAUGAUUUGAGAAUAUAAUUUUAUUUGCACCUAUCAGCAACAUGUAUGAUCCAUCCUUCCAUCCAUCAUCCAUCCAUCCCUCCCUCCCUCCAUCCAUCCAUCCAUCCAUCCAUUUUCUAUGACCAUUUGUCCUAGUCAAGGUUGUGGGGGGUCCAGAGCCGGUCCUGGAGGCUACAGGCACAAGGCAGUGAACAAUCCAUGAUGUAGCGCCAACCCGUCACACGGCACACUCACCAUUCAAACCUACAGGCCAUUUGAGUUCUGCCAGGAAUCGGCCAUCGACCAGCAGGCUGAGAUCAGCACCAUGGAAAUAAAAGAUUUAAGCCUCCGCUGGGGAGAAGGUCAAGGCAGAAGAAGUGGCUUAUAUCCUCCCUGCCCUCAGCCCUGGACAACUGGGAGGAUAACUGCCUCAAGGGUUCUGCUGCCUCCUGACCAGCUCAUAUGUGAUGGUACUCAAUUCGCUUAAAUUUUUUAUUAAACUGUCGCCUGGGGUAAUACCUAGUAUUGGAAAUCUCUGGUUCUGUGUCCAGAUGGAGAGAAUGAAUUAAGUGGUUUUGAACAAAGCUAAUCCUCAUAUGCUAUCCUCCAUGUCUGCCUGACCCUCCUGUUUCCUACCUGGUAUGGCCCUAAGAAGC
Brienomyrus brachyistius is the source of this 1401-nucleotide long non-coding RNA. RefSeq lists it as uncharacterized. NCBI's taxonomy places the organism in Eukaryota, Metazoa, Chordata, Actinopteri, Osteoglossiformes, Mormyridae. The record is from RefSeq and is a predicted model, not a curated record. The transcript has 3 exons.